UACGUAGGGUCCGAGCGUUAAUCGGAAUUACUGGGCGUAAAGCGUGCGCAGGCGGUUUGUUAAGACAGGUGUGAAAUCCCCGGGCUUAACCUGGGAACUGCGCUUGUUACUGGCAGGCUUGAGUGUGGCAGAGGGGGGUGGAAUUCCACGUGUAGCAGUGAAAUGCGUAGAGAUGUGGAGGAACACCGAUGGCGAAGGCAGCCCCCUGGGCUAACACUGACGCUCAUGCACGAAAGCGUGGGGAGCAAACAGG
This 253-nucleotide ribosomal RNA is filed under the name uncultured bacterium. RNAcentral's name for it is "partial 16S ribosomal RNA". It matches the Rfam family "Bacterial small subunit ribosomal RNA", at positions 524 to 776 of the family's 1533-position model. The record is from RNAcentral.